UCACCUUACGUGCACCUAAAUGCAAAAAGAACAGGGUUGUUAUUUUUUUCUGCCAAAUAAGUCAGUGAAAUUGUUCAGAAAAGUUGCAGUGGGCUUUGCAGUGUUUGCUCUCCGCGGGCGAAAACCACCGUCUCCAAAAUGCGGGGCACCGAGCCUGCCGGUGGCCCGGCCCAGGCGAAGCUCUCCGCGGAAGCCGUCGGCGCUCGGCCCCUGGAAACGACGCUAAAAUAGACCUGCGGAGUCGGGAUCGCACCUCCCGAACGGUGAUGCCGGUGGUUAUGGGCUCUAGCAAAGCCCCUGCGGGAAUUUGCUGCCUAUCGGGAAAAAUCAGGCAAGCGGAGCCCAGCUUCAAGCUGACUUCACCGCAAGCAAAAACUAUUGGAAUGGUUUUAAGCAAUUCUUCUUACUGGGGAGCUGAUAAGGUUGAUUUACAGCAACCCAAUGGAUGCCGAGAGGGCGAAAAGAUACCGGAGCAGCGCUUGGUUUCAGGCCUCGCCUUGGAGCGGAUGCUGAUGCCAGGAGGAGCAUCGGGCCACGAUGGCUGGAAAAAGAAAGGUUGGGAAUUGUUUCGCUGAAAUUGGGAUUGUAAGUGAGGGGG
This 598-nucleotide long non-coding RNA is filed under the name Dromaius novaehollandiae (emu). Its description in RNAcentral is "lncRNA (ENSDNVG00000012429.1)". The record is from RNAcentral. Lineage: Eukaryota; Metazoa; Chordata; Aves; Casuariiformes; Dromaiidae.